Molecule: long non-coding RNA, 238 nt
Filed under: Trifolium pratense (red clover)
Lineage: Eukaryota; Viridiplantae; Streptophyta; Magnoliopsida; Fabales; Fabaceae
Description: long non-coding RNA (TPRA_LNC004896)
Source: RNAcentral
AAUUGUAGCAUGAAUAUUUUUUGGUAUAUAUAAAGAUUUAAUUUUUAUUUAAAAUUAAAUAUUUGGUUCAUAGCAUGAUUGUGUUUGAGUUUAUUGUUAUUAUGUUUCUACAAUAAUUUUCUUUUAUCAUGCUCUUCGGUUAUAUUUCAUGCUAAAUUCAGUUUGCUUGUAAGUUUGUUCUCACAUUAAGGGAUGCCGAAUAAUCUUAUGAUUAUCAUGCGGUGUCAUAAAGGAAUAC